AGUGAACGCUGGCGGUAGGCCUAACACAUGCAAGUCGAACGGCAGCACAGUAAGAGCUUGCUCUUACGGGUGGCGAGUGGCGGACGGGUGAGGAAUACAUCGGAAUCUACUUUUUCGUGGGGGAUAACGUAGGGAAACUUACGCUAAUACCGCAUACGACCUACGGGUGAAAGCAGGGGAUCUUCGGACCUUGCGCGAUUGAAUGAGCCGAUGUCGGAUUAGCUAGUUGGCGGGGUAAAGGCCCACCAAGGCGACGAUCCGUAGCUGGUCUGAGAGGAUGAUCAGCCACACUGGAACUGAGACACGGUCCAGACUCCUACAGGAGGCAGCAGUGGGCAAUAUUAGACAAUGGGCGGAAGCCUGAUCCAGCCAUACCGCGUGUGUGAAAAAGACCUUCGGGUUGUAAAGCCCUUUUGUUGGGAAAGAAAAGCAGCAGGUUAAUACCCCGCUGUUCUGACGGUACCCAAAAAAUAAGCACCGGCUAACUUCGUG
Molecule: ribosomal RNA, 492 nt
Filed under: uncultured bacterium
Lineage: Bacteria
Description: partial 16S ribosomal RNA
Rfam family: Bacterial small subunit ribosomal RNA
Source: RNAcentral